RNAcentral lists this ribosomal RNA (434 nucleotides) under uncultured bacterium. RNAcentral describes it as "partial 16S ribosomal RNA". It matches the Rfam family "Bacterial small subunit ribosomal RNA", at positions 29 to 507 of the family's 1533-position model. The record is from RNAcentral.
AGCGAACGCUGGCGGCAGGCCUAACACAUGCAAGUCGAACGAACCUUUCGGGGUUAGUGGCGGACGGGUGAGUAACACGUGGGAACGUGCCUUUAGGUUCGGAAUAACUCAGGGAAACUUGUUCUAAUACCGAAUGUGCCCUUCGGGGGAAAGAUUAAUCGCCUUUAGAGCGGCCCGCGUCUGAUUAGCUAGUUGGUUGAGGUAAUGGCUCACCAAGGCGACGAUCAGUAGCUGGUCUGAGAGGAUGAUCAGCCACAUUGGGACUGAGACACGGCCCAAACUCCUACGGGAGGCAGCAGUGGGGAAUCUUGCGCAAUGGGCGAAAGCCUGACGCAGCCAUGCCGCGUGAAUGAUGAAGGUCUUAGGAUUGUAAAAUUCUUUCACCGGGGACGAUAAUGACGUUACCCGGAGAAGAAGCCCCGGCUAACUUCGUG